AACACCAGGCUAGAAAGGCCGAGCCUUCCACCUUUUACAAAGUAUAUAGGUGCAUUAAAUUAAAUAGCAUUUAAUAGGGUGAUAUAACAAGGAACCCAUGUAAUCACAUGGAAGCAACUACACAUGCAACUAGCAACGCUAACACAUGGUUAAGCAAGCGGUAAACAUAGCCAAUCAGUGGUUUGCUAGGUUCUGAACAGGUUGAAGGUUUUCAUGGCAUUGUUAAGGGUUGAUAUUUAACAUGUGGUAGGCAACGAGACAUAGCGAUAGAAACGGUAAAACUAGCAUGGCAAUGAUAGUAAUGGUAUCUGGGGAAAUGAUCAUCUUGCCUAAGAUCCCGCUUGGAAGUCCGUGAAGCAGACGAUCCAAUGUAGCCGAACGGGUCCUCACUUUCCGACACGCUUGCGGAACUCUAUCGAGAUGAAGGAAAUCGGAAACAGAAUCAACACACGAUAUUCACCACACGAUGCACAACACAAAUGAUGCAUGAACGGAGAAUAUAUGCAAGUCACGGCAUGGCAAUUCACAACAAUCAAACACAACACAUUAAGUGAAGUUCAAUAUGCAACGAGUUGCAUAUUGACGAAACUCCACAUACGAGUUAUUUAGUUCUGUCCCGAUUAGGUACACGACGGUAUUAAAUGUUAUUAAACAUGGCAAGAGGUGAAGCGCAAUUAAUCUACCUAUCUAGGCAUUUCAAAUGAGAUCGGAAAUGACAUAUAGCACCUCCGAGACGACCUCACAUGUGAAUUUACAAUU
Molecule: long non-coding RNA, 759 nt
Filed under: Hordeum vulgare
Lineage: Eukaryota; Viridiplantae; Streptophyta; Magnoliopsida; Poales; Poaceae
Description: long non-coding RNA (HVUL_LNC004654)
Source: RNAcentral